This 86-nucleotide transfer RNA is filed under the name Planctomycetota bacterium. RNAcentral describes it as "tRNA-Leu". It matches the Rfam family "tRNA". Rfam says of the family: Transfer RNA (tRNA) molecules are approximately 80 nucleotides in length. The record is from RNAcentral. Lineage: Bacteria; Pseudomonadati; Planctomycetota.
GCGGGAGUGGCGGAACUGGCAGACGCGCAGGGCUUAGGACCCUGUGCCCACAAGGCUUGCGGGUUCGAAUCCCGCCUCCCGCACCA